This 647-nucleotide ribosomal RNA is filed under the name uncultured Basidiomycota. RNAcentral describes it as "LSU rRNA". It matches the Rfam family "Eukaryotic large subunit ribosomal RNA", at positions 1 to 635 of the family's 3401-position model. Lineage: Eukaryota; Fungi; Basidiomycota. The record is from RNAcentral.
CCUCAAAUCAGGUAGGACUACCCGCUGAACUUAAGCAUACCAAUAAGCGGAGGAAAAGAAACUAACAAGGAUUCCCCUAGUAACUGCGAGUGAAGCGGGAAAAGCUCAAAUUUAAAAUCUGGCGGUCUCUGGCCGUCCGAGUUGUAAUCUAGAGAAGUAAUGCCCGUGCUGGACCGUGUAUAAGUCUCCUGGGAUGGAGCGUCAUAGAGGGUGAGAAUCCCGUCUUUGACACGGACUACCAGUGCAUUGUGGUAUGCUCUCAAAGAGUCGAGUUGUUUGGGAAUGCAGCUCAAAAUGGGUGGUAAAUUCCAUCUAAAGCUAAAUAUUGGCGAGAGACCGAUAGCGAACAAGUACCGUGAGGGAAAGAUGAAAAGAACUUUGGAAAGAGAGUUAAACAGUACGUGAAAUUGCUGAAAGGGAAACGCUUGAAGUCAGUCGCGUUGGCCAGGGAUCAGCCUUGCUUUUGCAUGGUGUACUUUCUGGUUGACGGGUCAGCAUCAAUUUUGACCGCUGGAAAAGGGCCUGGGGAAUGUGGCAGCUUCGGCUGUGUUAUAGCCCCUGGUCGCAUACAGUGGUUGGGAUUGAGGAACUCAGCACGCCGCAAGGCCGGGUUUCGACCACGUUCGUGCUUAGGAUGCUGGCAUAAU